Molecule: ribosomal RNA, 229 nt
Filed under: uncultured bacterium
Lineage: Bacteria
Description: partial 16S ribosomal RNA
Rfam family: Bacterial small subunit ribosomal RNA
Source: RNAcentral
UUAGACCACGGCGACGGUGGAGUAAUACCUAGGAACUUUCUUUAAGUGGAGCAUAACCCAUAGAAAUGUGGGAUAAUACUCCAUGCCAUCGCAAGAUGAAAGUCGCAAGACGCUUAAAGUGAGGCCUGGGCACCAUCAGCUAGUUGGUAAGGUAAUGGCUUACCAAGGCUAUGACGGUUAGGGGUCCCGAGAGGGAUAACCCCCACACUGGAACUGCGACACGGUCCAG